This is a long non-coding RNA of Equus caballus (horse), 1656 nucleotides long. RefSeq lists it as uncharacterized. The record is from RefSeq and is a predicted model, not a curated record. Lineage: Eukaryota; Metazoa; Chordata; Mammalia; Perissodactyla; Equidae.
CUCUCUCUCUAUGCAAAAAAUAAAUAAAUUUUUGAGAUAUAAUUUAUAUAUAUUGAAAUGCUCAAGUCUUACGUGUACCAUUCAAUUAGUUUUAGGAAGUCAUAUCAAGACAGAAUAUUCCCAUCACCUCAGAAGCUUCCUUCAUGACCUUCCCAAUCAGCAACCCCUCUCCAAGCAAUUACUGAUCUGGUUUCCAUCACCAUAGGUAUUGUCCUCAUCCAUUUGGUUGAAGCUUGCUCACGACUCCCACAUCUUCAUUCCAGUCUGUGUGAAGGGAUAAAAAACAAGAGCCUUGGAGAAUGGGAGAGAUUCUCUGUUGGAAACCAUCCUGGGGUGUGCGGUCCAGCUAUGCCACCUAAACAAGCUUCUCCUUGGAGAGAUAAGGGCCUGAAGAUUAUGAGCAUCUGCUCCUUCUCUCUGUGUAAGUUUGCCCCCAAUAAACCCUAUUUUAUAUCUGCACUACGAGACACUACAUAUAUAAGUGCUGAAUCCUGAUAUUGUGGGUUGUGGUUAAGAAAAAAAAGGUGAAAAUCUCCAGAUAGUGAGUCUAACUGAUGCCUAGUGUCCAAGUGACAGAAUUAUUAAUGCUUCAUCCAAAUAUUUAUGCCUAGCUUACUCUGCUAAAGAUAGUUAUCUUUAAGAUAAUGGAGAUAAGUAUCUUUAAGAUAAUGGAGGAUCAAAUAAAAAUUAGCUCUUAUCCUUUAGGCCAGUUCUACAAAUUGCAAAUAUUGAGCAAUUACUAACAUUUUGCCACGUUUGCUUCAUCGCUCUUCAUGUGUAUGUGUUUGUUUUUCUGAAUCAUUUGAGAGUUAUAGACACAAUUUUCUUUUACCUCCAAAUGCUUCAGUGUGCAUUUCCUAAGAAUAAGGACAUUCUCCUAAAUGAGCACAGUAAAAGAUCUAAUUAAAGAAAUUUAACAUUGAUACAGUACUGUUAUCUACUAAACAGUCUCUACCGAAAUUUUGCCAAGCAUCCUGACAAAGUUUUCUAUGCCAAUCUCUCCCCACCAUCACUUCUUCCCCACUCCCCACCCCCAUCCAGGAUCUAGUCCAGGAUUACACGUUAUAUUUAGUUGUCAUGUUUGCCAAAAAUUAAACAAAAGUUUUAGAUCCUGCACUGUCUCCUACAGCCUUUGGACUCCUCUCUUUCCUGCUGUUGUUCUUGAAAUGCUGUACUUUGGCCAUUUGUUUUCCUUUCAUGGAGGUGGUGGGCAAUGACCUUAGAAAUUGUAACCACACAGCCAGAUCAGGCCUUGAGAUAGAGCCAGAAUUUAAUCAGAUUUUAUCUUACUGUCUAUAUAAAGUGUGGCUCCCUGAGAUAGGAAACACAGGAAAAGAAUUCCAUGAAGUCCAAAUGUCCUUAGACUUGCCAGAAGAUAUUUAAAUGUCUAAAGAACCAAAGAAAUGCAAAAUGCAAUAGACUUUCCCAGGUGGAUUGGAGAAUUAGGUGAAUGUAACUUGACUACCUCCUUCUUUAUAUUCUGGAAAGAGGACUGUGCAAACAGGCUCAGACUGGCAGUUGGGGCCAUGAGAAGAACUGCCCUGGAGCCUGUGGGUCCAACCCUCAAACUUCAGCCAGUACCUACAGUCCAUGAACGACUUUGUCAAAAUUUGCAGGGAAAGGGGGCCGGCCCCUUGGCUGAGUGGCAAAAUUUGC